RNAcentral lists this long non-coding RNA (1822 nucleotides) under Eucalyptus grandis. RNAcentral describes it as "long non-coding RNA (EGRA_LNC001887)". The record is from RNAcentral. Lineage: Eukaryota; Viridiplantae; Streptophyta; Magnoliopsida; Myrtales; Myrtaceae.
UUGGGGUUUCCCACGAUGCCAAGAAGCUGACGAAAGGGAAUCUCACCGCUCAUUCGAGCAGGUGCUUGCCACGUCUCAUUAUCGGGUUGGUAGUGAAAUUUGUCUUCUUUUAAUUUUAGAUUUUAGGUUUUAUUUAUUUAGGAAAAAUGGAUAAUUUUAAAAAUAAUUUUUUAAAAAUAAUUUUUAUAUCACUUAUAAAAAUGAAUGAACCAAGAAUAGUUUCAUCUUUCAUGAAAAAUAUAUUAUUUAAUUGUUUUUAUCAUUCAUUUUAUCUUUUUUAGCAUGAAAUUAUUAUUUGAGAAAACUUGAUGACUGGUGCGGACAUGGGACAAAGCCAUGAGCCAUUGUACGGAUGGACAAUCAGAGAUAAAGUUAGUAUGCUCCGAAGAAUCUCAUAAAAGAGAGGCGAAUUACAUUCAAAAUUAGCAUUAUUCAUGAGUAAAUUUUAUCUACAGUGAACCCCCCUCACUCUAAUGCUCCAAUCAUGCGAUUUUUCAAAGUUCUUGACAUUUCUUUUUCUUUUUUUUCCCAUUUUAAUUCACUUUCGUCAAUUUGUGUGCGGAAGUUUAUACUUGCUCAUUCAUUUGCCUCGGGCUAACCAAACACCUAGUUACAGUCUAAUUACGCCCUGCAGCUAUUUAAUCACAAACUGGACAAUUGUACGUUUUAUAAAGUCUCUACCUAAACCCCUAAUAUCAAGUGAAUGACGUUAUUCGUUUGAUCACUGUAAUUUCGUUUGUUCUUCAUGCAUUUGCUUUUUCAGCACCUUAAAUUCUAGUAUUCGUCUUUCAUUUACUUCAAAUUUCGAGCCUAUUAAUUUCUUGUCAAAUCAAUGCAAAAAUCAUUUCACAAAAAAAAAAACCAAAAUCAAACUUUAGAUGAAAGAUAUCUCACUUCCUAAGUAUAUUCGCAUUUUUGGUGAAACAGAAUGUAUUGUCAUUUUUUAUUGAGAGGAUAUUUAAAUAUUAAAUCAUAUUUUCGCCUAAGCAGUCCCAUCAUAUCCCACACUUAUCUAGGAAUAUGAACUCUCUCUAAAGGAUUUUAACCCUCAGUUUGAUUAUCAUGAAAAAUUUUGGAUAUAGAUUUAGUUUCUUUAAAAACGUGACUUGGGUUGGCAAAAAUCAAACACGAUUCAAUAAAUGCCUGAAUGCACAUAACGUGUUGUAGUCCCUAACAUGCGUCGCAAGUCGCAUAUUUUAGUAUAGACAAGCCAACCCUGAUUGUUCAAGUGCUUCAGGCGCGUCUCUCCUCCCAGUGCAUUCGCAUGCUCGGAGCCUUUGCUUCCUUUGUUCUUGUUUUCCCGGUUAGAUUUGCUAAUCUCAUUCCCGAUCAAUGGAAAAUUCGAGUGAACUUUCGAACUGCACAUGGCGGAUUAGGACUGAAAUGUCUGUUACUGCGUUCAGUGUGGUAUAUUGCUUUAAUGGGAAAUGCUGGCGAUUGAUCGACUGACGGAUAUUAUGGGGAAUGCGAUUAAUGCUGCGGUUUAUUCUGUUUUGGCUAUUCCGAGCUCCCUUUGUGACACUUGUUAUGGAUUUGAUCAGAAUAGGCCACGGGAGAGAGAGAGGAAGAGAUUUAGAAGGAAAUGGCAGGAGGGAAGCUCCGUACAUGGCAGACUCUACAUUGAGGGCUCUCACGCCAGGAUCAUCAAAGAAUCAACUAAGGCUGCUGUUGAGGAAGGCCAGUUUAUUGAGUUAUAACCAGCUUUCCAUUGCUAUAAGACUCAAGCUCCAUAUUUAGUGCUUGUCCUGGCGAAUGCUGAUUGAGUUUCCAUUUGUAACUUCUCAAAUUGGCUCAACAACAAUUAGAGCACGCAAGUCCAGCG